Molecule: unclassified non-coding RNA, 263 nt
Filed under: plant metagenome
Description: partial contains small subunit ribosomal RNA, internal transcribed spacer 1, and 5.8S ribosomal RNA
Source: RNAcentral
UUUCCGUAGGUGAACCUGCGGAAGGAUCAUUAUUGUAUAACCGAGGUGCGAGGGCUGUCGCUGACCCUACAGGUCCUGCACGCCCGAGUGCCCUCACACACAUCCAUCUCACCCCUAUGUGCACCACCGCGUGGGUCCCCCUUUGGCUUGUUCGGAAGGGGGCUUACGUUUUCACACAAACUUUGUAUGCAGUGUAGAAUGUAUUUUUUGUUUUUGCGAUCACGCAAUCAAUACAACUUUCAACAACGGAUCUCUUGGCUCUC